GCUAACGAGCGCAACCCUCACUGUGUGUUACGAUGUGUCGACACGGGACUGCCGGUUUUAAGCCGGAGGAAGGCGGGGAGUGACGUCAAGUCAGCAUGGCCUUUAUAUCUUGGGCUACACACACGCUACAAUGGUCUGUACAAUAGGUUGCCAAGCCGCGAGGCGGAGCCAAUCCUCAAAGUUGGUCUCAGUUCAGAUUGCAGGCUGCAACCCGCCUGCAUGAAGAUGGAGUUGCUAGUAACCGCAGGUCAGCUAUACUGCGGUCGAAUACGUUCCCGGGGCCUU
This 285-nucleotide ribosomal RNA is filed under the name uncultured Leptolinea sp. Its description in RNAcentral is "partial 16S ribosomal RNA". It matches the Rfam family "Bacterial small subunit ribosomal RNA", at positions 1088 to 1382 of the family's 1533-position model. The record is from RNAcentral. Lineage: Bacteria; Bacillati; Chloroflexota; Anaerolineae; Anaerolineales; Anaerolineaceae.